ACAGACGGUGGAGCUGUCUCCAGGUUGGUCUGACAUUCCUGACUCUCCUUUUCCCUCUGCUGCUAGCUCCUUCCCUGAUGGCCUUCCUCUGUUCCCCCGGAGGGAGGAGGCUUAUUUAUGUUGCAGAUUCAAGACUUCGCUGUCCAGGACGAACCCAUGCUCCGUGUUUACAGAACGAGCAAGCCGGAGCGCCGCGUCCCUUUGAAUUGGAGACGAUGUUCACAGGCUUUUCUCUUUUUCCCCCCUUUGAGAACAAUUUCUCUUCUUAGAAACUCGAGGCUUUCCUUUUUCUCCCUUCAGACUUUAAAAACUCCUUUACUCUAAGGAGAAUAAAAUUGUUUGACCAAACUUACUUCCCUAGCAAUUUCAGAGGCGUCGGGCGGUGAACACCGACAGCGCCUUUCUUCCCCUCUUCAAUUGCCCCCAGGGAAAUGGCACAGGUGAGCAGCUGGCCUGUGGUGGGACACACAGCCGGGUUGCCUGGUGUGGUGAUUAGUGCCCUCUGUUGGGUAAAAUUGGGUUUGCUCUAAUCGGCUAGAUCAUCUUGCCCUCUAGUGGUCAGAAAAAAAACACUGGAAACGCCGAAGGAUCAGGGCCAGUAUUUCUUCCAUGUUUGUGAAAUACAAAAAAUUCCAACCGAAACCAUGGCGUGACAGCAACUCUAACUUAAGAUGCAACUUACAGUGAUUGCGUCUCCACGUUCAUUUGUGGACAGGCCAAUAGGAUCGUGAGCGUUAAACUGAUCUGCUGUCUGGCAAGAAAUAACACAGUUCAACUUAGGUGCGUGUUUUAUGGGUGGAGGAUGGAUCCCAUGGCCGUUUGCAAACUAAGCCUGUGCUUUGCCGCAGAGCUGUGUGUCCCGGGACAGCAUCCCGUUUUGUUGAAUAAAAAAAAAAAAAGACCAUUUAAAAAUUUUUUCUUAAGUGAUCCAUGAAAAGAUAGAACUGUACCUAUCCAUGGAAUGUCAGCUUACGUUGCAAUAUGCGUGCACAUCAUGUAAGACAAAAACCAGCCACCUUUAUUUCCUCAAACAGUUCUAAUUUCUUCUUUCGUGUCCCUGGUGAAAGUUAAUAUUAAAUUCUUACUGUGUACUACGAACUAUAUUUCUUUCACCCUUUAUCCAUCGUGUGGCCGCCAGUCCACGAUGAAAUCUUGGUGUCGGGAUCACACUGAAGAAGUAGGCGGCGUGGUGAAGUUCAGGAGCGCCGUGUCAGGGUAAGCGGCCGUGAAACCAGAAAGCCGGAAUCGGGAGCUUCAGUUGACAGGUUCUGAUGCUCAGGUGGCGCCGGUUAUCCCGAGAUGACAGGCUUGAAGUGAGAAGCUUCUGUGCUUUUCAUCUGCUGCUAAGUGCCUGGGAGGAGGCUUCUAACUUCGCCCGCGAGGUAAGAACCACCUCUCCGCUCACCUGCGGAAUGUCGACCUACCUCUUUGACCUCGUCUGCUGGACUCUCAUCGCCAGGAUUCAGUUCAUUGAGUCAUUGCCUGGCAUAAUUCAUGCCAUGUCAUAAUUCUGAUUCCCGAUCGUGCUUGGCCGUCCUCACUGAGCAAUUCUUGGAGGAGCAAUCCACACUUCUGAAAAAUUCUGCUGUGCUGGAAACCGCUUCUAAUACAGAGGCUAAAGCGGGGAAUCAAAGGCCAUUUCAGUUUCGCUAAUCAGUUGGAUAAAUGGUGGCCGAGGUCCUCCCCUUAUAACACUUCCUCCAUUUUUGAGAUGCCCUGUUGUGAGAGACCACCCUGUCUGUCCAGCGGCAAUAUCAGGGUCAGCGCGAGUCUUCCUGAAUCCAAGCCAUGCGAUCCUGUGAGUGUUGUUAAAAGAAUUCAGAGUGCUGAAACUGCGUUUGCUUGAUUGCUGGACGCUGCACAGAGAUGGACUCAAUCCAUCUCGAUAAAGAGCAACUGUGUCCUCAGACCCUACGGAGGUUCUGGAAACAUGGAUGCCCAUUAUAGUAAAUUCCCAGUUAUGGGUUAUCAGGGUGAAAGAGCAAAACAUUGCAGAGAAAUAUCAGUGGAUUCAGAGCUAGUUAAAAAAAAAAAAAAGGAAGAAAAACCUCAUUUUGACCAUUAACAUGUACAGAUUUUUAACAUUUCCCCUGAGUAAUGCUAACUAUCCAUUAUUUAAAGUAAAAAACUAAAAGGAAAGAAAUAACAUGACACUAAGUAAUAUAAAAAUAGAUUUUUUUUUUUUUAUAACAUUCUGGUUUGAAAUGUAGUUCUUGUUGAACAAAGGCUAUUUUCAGAAGAGCACAGACAGGCAGAAGGGCAAACACAGACAAGGCCCCUGGUUGUCGUUUGCGUCUCCGCUCGGGAUGGACAGUGUGACUGAAAGCAGUGUGGAGAGGAGAGGGUUGACUUGGAUUACAGGUUACGGUUGUCUCGGAGGGAACCAAAGCAGCGACUCAAAGCAGGAACCAGAGGCAGGAACGGAAGCGGAGACCAUGUAGGGAUGCGCCCUUUGGGCUUCCUUCCUCCGGCUUGCUCAGUUAGUUACCUUUCUUAUACAGCUCAGGCCCACCCGCUCAGGGAUGGCAGCACCCACAGUGAGCUGGGUGCUCCUGCGUCAGUGAGCAAUCAAGAAAAUGCCCAUCCGGCCAACGUGAGGGAAGCCAUUCCCGACCCGAGCGUAUGUCUGGGUUUGUGUCAAAUUGGCAAAAACUCAUCAGCACAAACUUCCAGCUGAUUAUUGUAAUAACCAUGCAGUUUAGAAAUCAUCCGGUUCAUUUACCUUCGGAUUUUUUUUUCUUCCACAACACAACACUCAAAAUGAAGCCAGUGAAAGUUAGUAUGUAGUAGUUUUUAAACUUUAAAAAUAUGUAGAGAAUAAUUGUAAAUUACUGUAUUUAAAAAUGUACCUUACAUUUAUUUUAACAUGUAAACCCACAAUAUGUACAGAAGACUGUAGUUAUUAUA
This is a long non-coding RNA of Peromyscus californicus insignis, 2907 nucleotides long. RefSeq lists it as uncharacterized. Lineage: Eukaryota; Metazoa; Chordata; Mammalia; Rodentia; Cricetidae. The record is from RefSeq and is a predicted model, not a curated record. The transcript is spliced from 3 exons.